This 3126-nucleotide long non-coding RNA is filed under the name Sus scrofa (pig). RNAcentral's name for it is "lncRNA (ENSSSCG00000057207.1)". The record is from RNAcentral. Lineage: Eukaryota; Metazoa; Chordata; Mammalia; Artiodactyla; Suidae.
UUUUUUUUUUUUUUUUUUUUUUUUUUUUGCUUUUCAUGGUUACAUCUGCGGCAUAUGGAAGUUCCCAGGCUAGGGGUUGAAUCAGAGCUGCAGCUACUGGCCACAGCCACAGCAGCCAGAUCUGAGCUGCAUCAUCAACCUAUACUAGAGCUCACAGCAACGGCAGAUCCUUAAUCCACUGAGCAAGGCCAGGGAUCAAACCUGCAUCCCCAGUUGGGUUCUUAAUUCACUGAGCUACAACAGGAACUCCCGAAAAGUUAAAAUCGUUAUGAAAAGCUUAGACAGUGCUUUGGUAUGUUGGUUAUCUGUUUAUUUGUUUAAGAAAUGAAUGACUAUGAUUAUUCUAGCUUAUUUCAGAAGGAUCAGUGCAUACCAGCAUUCUUACUCCACGAGGUCUGGACAAGAAGGCCUGGUUCAAACUUGUGAUUGACACUGUGCCUAUUCAUUCACUCAAUGUGGUGGCUCCAGAGCUCCCACCAGCGGCUCUCGGUGACCCUGAGAAUAAAGUCUGCAGGAGCCUCUCCAUCAGCCUUGGGAAGAGUCUAAACUCCUGAGUGCACAUCUGUGUACUCUGGUAUCUAGUCACAUCUCCCCACCACCACCCCUUCCUAUCACAUAAAACUCUUCCAAUCCCUCACAAAAGUCAGGUUCUCUCACCCCACUGUUGCUUCUUGUGUCACAGGGUUUCUCAGCCUCAGCACUAUUGUCAUCUGGAGGCUGAAUAACUUUUGACUGUGGGGAUGGUUCUGUGCACUACAAGAUGUUUAGAAGCAUCCUUGACCCCUACCUGCCAGAGAGAUGCCAGGACCACCUCCCCUCCCCCCAGAUGUAACAACCAAAACUGUCUAUAGACACAUGGACAGAAAUCCCUUGUGGGGGCAAAACUACCCCUAGUUCCCAGGUGGGGUCCACUCUUCUAUUGAGAAGGCUUUUACCCCCAUUUCCCUGGCUAACGUCAACUCAUCCUCAAGAUUUCAGGUAAGAUGUCACCGUUGCAUCUGCAGUGUCAACACCACUGCUGUAUCCAAGCACAAAGGUGAUCAGACAAACAGCAGCAUCACCCAGUGCACAUGGAGAGGACUGGGAGGACCGCGGAGGCAGCCGUGAAGGGGAGCCGCACUGCUGGCUGGAGGUGGCACAAGAGGGUGAGAGUCGAGUAAGGAAAUAGGGUGGCUUCAAGGUCCCUGAAAUGAGGGAGUUACGAGGGGGUGAAGAAACAGGAGGGAGCUGGAAAGAGGAGGUUGCGUGGAAGAGGAAGGAAGGAAGAAAAUGAUGAGUCCAGCUUUUGAAGGGAUACUUCCAGGCGCCUGUGAAAGGGCUCACCACCCCCGAUGACGAGCGAGGCGAGGGCUCAAGAUGGGAGAGGAGGGAGAAGCUGCUGUACCUUCUUUCUCGCCCAGAGUUAAAUCUGCGUCCUUAGAGGGCCCAUCCAAAAUUGCCUGGAACCCGCAAACGCCCUUUUCCUCUCCGCCACACCAUCCAUCCCGCCUCUCUCUCUCGCACACACCCACCCCCAUCUCCUCUGCCGUCAAAAUCAUGCAAGACCUGCUGCUGCAAGUAACCUCAUUUUUUAAAUGGGGUUGGCACGGGGUGAGAAGAUGGAGAGAAAAGUGGGAGAAUAACUGUGCUGGAGAGGGGAAGCUCUCUUCAGAGCCCGGCUUCACUCUCAGAGGAAGGCCCUACAAGCUCGGGCACGAGAGUGCUUUAAUCUGAACUGCGGGUACCAUCUAGUGGCUGAUUCUUAUAACUAGUGGAACUGAUAGCUGCUGUGGAGACCAAAGUUGGCAAAGGCAGCUGGAGGGCAGGGGCUGGGGGGUUAGGGAAUCAGGAAAGGAGGCGGGUGGGGAUUGGCUGGGCAGACAAGAGCUGUCCUUCUGGGUCCCAGGAUUCACCACCCAACCAGCCUGGAAGAGGGUUCCUGAACUGCCGUCAGGCUGCCAUCUGCAGCUGGCCCUCUCCGGGCAGGCUGGCUUCUCACCGCCACACCACUGCCCUAGAAUCUUCCCCAGACCCCUGGGCCCACUUCUUUGCCUGAUCCGAAGAUUUCUCAUGUUCGGUUGAGGCUGCCCCUUUCUGGUGUUUUCCUCCUGAUUAUUAGCAGUCUUUAUUACCAGUGCCUGACACAGUAUUUCUUGUUUGGAUAUCCAACAAGCUUUUAAUUAGAGAAGCAACAGGAAGAGAUAUGAAGCUGCAUUAAUGCAACUGAAAACCCAGCACAGCUAAAAGAAAGAUAAUCUCAUAGAUAACAGCAUUGUUGAAAAUGACAGGAACAGCUUCCAGUAAAUAACUAAAUGGAUAAAUCCCAGAGCGGGUCAAUUGUUGUUAGUUAAUAUUUGAAGCAAAGUACAGCACUUAAUAAUGCGGCUGUUUCUUAUCCUUGUGGGAGACAAAUAACAAGAAUUGGGAUUUCCACUUUAGAGCGUAAUUCUGGUUCAUUUUUAAGGGCCCCGGAUCCUAUAAUUAUGAGCAUAAUGAAAGUUUGUCUUAGAAAAAAUCCUUUCACCAUCAACUUCCAGAAAAGCGAUCUCUAAAAUGCUAUUCAUCCCAAGGAAUGUCACGAACUGACCUUACAUCAGCUCAUGAGACAGACACUGAAAUAAAUCAUUUGCAAAAAUGGUCACAAUUACUCCCCUCCUAUAUUUAUUCUCUGAGUCUGGGCUGGCUUUGAUGUUAUGUCCACCCCCUCCCACCGCCCCUGCAAAUGCGUUGGAAGACACUUGCCAAUGCUGAGCCUGGGGCUCAUGAGGCCUUGCAUGUUUCAAUUCAAGCUCGAGGAACCCUACCAGCUGCCAAGCAAACAACUCCAGACAGCCUGGUGGAGCUUGCAGGAGGACACAGAGCAGAGACAACCAUCCCAGCAACACACAGCAACAUGGGGGAGAGCCCAGCAGAGAUGAGCAAAGCCAUUCACAGAUGCAUGGGUGGGUCCAGGAGAAACCAGAGGCACCACCCAGCUGAUCCCAGCCGGAGCUGCCAGCCUUCAGAAUCAUGGGCUAAAUAAAUGCUGAUUUGCUUUAAAACUCUCUUGGGGUGAUUUAUGACAUGGCGAUCGCUAAGUCUCAUAAGCACUGUGGCUAAGUCACAUCUUAGAAACUUUAUUUUCCUGACUGAAUAGGAAAUCAUGAC